GAUGAACGCUGGCGGCGUGCCUAAUACAUGCAAGUCGAGCGAACAGACGAGGAGCUUGCUCCUCUGACGUUAGCGGCGGACGGGUGAGUAACACGUGGAUAACCUACCUAUAAGACUGGGAUAACUUCGGGAAACCGGAGCUAAUACCGGAUAACAUGUUGAACCGCAUGGUACAACAGUGAAAGACGGUUUUGCUGUCACUUAUAGAUGGAUCCGCGUCGCAUUAGCUAGUUGGUAAGGUAACGGCUUACCAAGGCAACGAUGCGUAGCCGACCUGAGAGGGUGAUCGGCCACACUGGAACUGAGACACGGUCCAGACUCCUACGGGAGGCAGCAGUAGGGAAUCUUCCGCAAUGGGCGAAAGCCUGACGGAGCAACGCCGCGUGAGUGAAGAAGGUCUUCGGAUCGUAAAACUCUGUUAUUAGGGAAGAACAAAUGUGUAAGUAACUAUGCACGUCUUGACGGUACCUAAUCAGAAAGCCACGGCUAACUACGUG
RNAcentral lists this ribosomal RNA (497 nucleotides) under uncultured bacterium. RNAcentral's name for it is "partial 16S ribosomal RNA". It matches the Rfam family "Bacterial small subunit ribosomal RNA", at positions 28 to 507 of the family's 1533-position model. The record is from RNAcentral.